RNAcentral lists this ribosomal RNA (216 nucleotides) under Glomeromycotina sp. RNAcentral describes it as "partial small subunit ribosomal RNA". The stretch from base 40 to 216 matches the Rfam family "Eukaryotic small subunit ribosomal RNA", at positions 686 to 864 of the family's 1831-position model. Lineage: Eukaryota; Fungi; Glomeromycota. The record is from RNAcentral.
GGGUCAGUAGGUUGGUCGUGCCACCGGUACGUACUGGUCUCACUGAUUCCUCCUUCCUGAAGAACCGUAAUGCCAUUAAUUUGGUGUUGCGGGGAAACAGGACUGUUACUUUGAAAAAAUUAGAGUGUUUAAAGCAAGCUAACACUUGAAUACAUUAGCAUGGAAUAAUGAAAUAGGACGAUCGAUCCUAUUUUGUUGGUUUCUAGGAUUGACGUA